This 301-nucleotide ribosomal RNA is filed under the name uncultured bacterium. Its description in RNAcentral is "partial 16S ribosomal RNA". It matches the Rfam family "Bacterial small subunit ribosomal RNA", at positions 509 to 808 of the family's 1533-position model. The record is from RNAcentral.
CAGUAGCCACGGGAAUACGUAGGGUGCAAGCGUUAAUCGGAAUUACUGGGCGUAAAGCGUGCGCAGGCGGUUAUAUAAGUCAGAUGUGAAAUCCCCGGGCUCAACCUGGGAACUGCAUUUGAGACUGUAUGGCUAGAGUGUGUCAGAGGGGGGGUAGAAUUCCACGUGUAGCAGUGAAAUGCGUAGAUAUGUGGAGGAAUACCGAUGGCGAAGGCAGCCCCCUGGGAUAACACUGACGCUCAUGCACGAAAGCGUGGGGAGCAAACAGGAUUAGAUACCCGCGUAGUCCCUGUCUCUUAUA